This is a long non-coding RNA of Brachypodium distachyon (stiff brome), 1000 nucleotides long. RefSeq lists it as uncharacterized. The transcript has 3 exons. The record is from RefSeq and is a predicted model, not a curated record. NCBI's taxonomy places the organism in Eukaryota, Viridiplantae, Streptophyta, Magnoliopsida, Poales, Poaceae.
GGGUCUAAGUCGUUGAAGGGAGAUCUUAGGAAACGAGAAGGAGAUGAUCUGCUGUGCUUAUUACACGUGCGUUGAUGACGGACUGGUAAGAAGGGGUAAAGGAUAAUUUAACGAGUCAUCCUCGAUCAACUUUGCUUUAACGUUAUUAAUAGUGGGAGUCGGGACCCAGCACGGCAUGAAACGGAGUCGGGCUGAUUUGGGCCGGCCCGACGGCCAGCAUUAGGACUCACAGAGGAAAAGAAAUUCCCUCCUUCUCGGCCCAACCCAACAACAGCCCAGACGACUUCCGGUUCUUCAUUCUACCCCAGAGAAUUUGUUUUUUUUUGUUGUUGGUGUUGUUUUGCCUUUUGCCGUUCUGCUCGGCCCUCUCGCCGGAGAGGAGAGCGGUCUCGCCGCGAUGAGUCACCGCAGGUGAGGCCUCACGCCGCCUCCUCCCGCAGGAAGCGGCACCCUUCCGCCUUCGCCGGGCGGCAUCCGAAUGCGCGGGCGGAGCGGGUGCCAGAGCGUUCGCGGCGGCGUACGUUCCGCGCUGCUGCGUGGUGCGAACACCUACUUCAACCCCCGACGAGCACUGGCAGACAGACGGCAGUGUGCCUCGAGGUCUCCCUCGCCUUCGGGUUACUUUCUUUGGAUCUGUACUGCGAGUCCCAGAUUUGCACAAACAAUUGUAGUUCCCAAUCAGAUUACUGCAGAUUCCAUGGCAAGGAUACUGAUCUGGAAAACUGCACUCGUCGAUAUCUGCAAACAUCAUGCAAGAUAAGUAAAUAACUUGACACCAGUGCAAAGAUAACUUCACAUGAACUCAAAAGAUGGAAGUGAGUUUCAGAGAGUUACCAACCUUGGCAUCCUUCUUCCAGGCAUACGACGAUCUGUUCUUCACCGCUUCGUUACAGUUUUCAUAUCCAGCAACCCAGUCAAGCACAGUAGGGACCCCAUCCCUGAACUCCUUUCUGAACUUAUCAUCUUCAAGAUAAUAAGGCUUGAACUUGAACCAAUCCAG